RNAcentral lists this ribosomal RNA (361 nucleotides) under uncultured bacterium. Its description in RNAcentral is "partial 16S ribosomal RNA". It matches the Rfam family "Bacterial small subunit ribosomal RNA", at positions 338 to 716 of the family's 1533-position model. The record is from RNAcentral.
CCUACGGGUGGCAGCAGUGGGGAAUAUUGCACAAUGGGGGAAACCCUGAUGCAGCGACGCCGCGUGAGGGAUGAAGUAUUUCGGUAUGUAAAGCUCUAUCAGCAGGGAAGAAAAUGACGGUACCUGACUAAGAAGCCCCGGCUAACUACGUGCCAGCAGCCGCGGUAAGACGUAGGGGGCAAGCGUUAUCCGGAUUUACGGGGUGUAAAGGGAGCGGAGACGGCGCUGCAAGCCAGAUGUGAAAGCCCGGGGCUCAACCCCGGGACUGCAUUUGGAACUGUAUAGCUGGAGUGUCGGAGAGGCAGGCGCACUUCCUCGUGUAGCGGUGCAAUGCGUAGAUAUUAGGAGGACCACCAGUGGC